UUUAAGUGAAGUGUUUGAUUGUUUAAGAGCGUUAUCUGUUCUGCAAUAUAUAGUUUUGUUUGGUAAUACUUUGUGAUGAAAGGGGCUGUUGAAGAGGGGAAGUAACAGGGAUAGUGUAUUUUGUGUGAAGUGAACCCAUUGCCAGCACACACACGAGAGACCAUGGCACUCUCGUGAGAGGAACAAAAGGAGGAAAAUUUUAUAGCCUGUGCCUUACCCUACGCACUUCCUCUUUCUUAUCCUACACCAUCCAUUAUCCAAGUCCACUCACCAGUAUCACCAAUUUCCAAGGGGACCCCCACCCUUCCCCUGCAAUUUUGAAUUCCUUCUUUUGUUCAGUUAAAUAAUAACAAACGUCUGAUGACAAUAAACGUUAAAUGCACGUCGAGGCAGUUUCAGCGAGUUUCUCUCACCCAUUACUCCAAAUGUUGUUUGCCCCCUCUUUGUUCUUCUUGGCGUGUCCUGAUCUGGUUGGAUUUGGGUAUUAUUUGAUGAGAAAAGCAUACCCACUUGCUUUUCUCGGGUUUGAUUGUCAAAUUCGUUCUCCAACAGAUCUUAGCUUCAGUAAAGAUCAGAUUUACUGCGCGGAAAAGGAUCUCCUUUAUAGAUAAGUUGGCGCGGUUCAUUUAUUCCGCUGAACGCGGGGCACAUGAUUGCCAAGGCUGCUGAAUCUAGUUUGCUGAAUUUUAUUUUUUUUUAUCAAUGUGGUCUACUUGGGAUAGAUAGGGUGGAUGGAUGUAUGUAAAUCAGAGCAAGCAUCGAGGAAACACAAAGCUGCGGAGACCCCAAGACCACUUUUGGUUCUGGCAGAAAAGAACAAUGCAGUCACCACCACCGGGCGCUCUGGAACAAGGGAAGUUAGUUCUCGGUACAAGUCACCUACUCCUGCAAGCCCAUCUGGUUCUCGUAGAUGCCCUUCUCCAAACCUCACAAGAACAACAACGCCUGCUUCAUCCUCCCAGUUGUUACCGAAGAGGUCUCUCUCUGCAGAAAGAAAGAGACCUUCAACUCCUCCUUCCCCACCAACACCAAGACCUUCCACCCCUGUCAAUAAUUCAUCUGUAGAUGGGAAGUUGUCAAAAAGGGUAUCAGGUAGCCGAUUGCCGGAUAGUCUAUGGCCUUCCACAAUGCGAAGUUUGAGUGUUUCUUUCCAGUCAGAUACCAUUUCCAUACCUGUUAGUAAGAAAGAGAAGCCAGUUGCUAGUGCUUCUGAUCGUACUCUGCGACCAGCUUCAAAUGUGGCACACAAGCAGGCUGAAACUCCAACCGUAAGAAAGCCUACUCCAGAGAGAAAAUGUAGUCCCCUUAAUGGGAAGAAUGCUUCUGCUCAGUCUGAGAAUUCAAAACCAGCUGACAGCAGCUUGCCUUCUCGGUUAAUUGACCAGCAUCGAUGGCCGGGUAGGAUAGGCGGGAAGGUAUCUUCUAGUGCAUUAAACAGAAGUGUUGAUUGUGGUGAUACCAGAACGUUGAAUACUUCUGUUUCAGGAACUGUUUUUUCUUCACAGAGAAGAUUGUCUAGAUCAGAUGAAUCAAGUAAACCCUUGCAAAGGGCUUCUAGUGAUGCUGUAAGGCUAUUACCACUUAUUGGAAGUGGCAGAAUAGGAAGUGAGGCUAAAUCAGUUGAUGAUUGUUCGCUACACAAAUUAAGACCUCACAAAUUUGUGGCUACAAGUCCGACAAAUAAAGCUGGAUUUGCCAGUGCUGGAGUCAGAUCUCAGUCCUCGUCAGCUCCAGGAUCACGUCUACCCUCACCUAGUAGGACCUCACUAUCCUCUUCUAGUUCAAGAGGUGUCAGUCCAUCUAGGUCAAGGCCAUCAACUCCACCUUCUAGAGGGAUUAGUCCAUCUCGAAUAAGGUCAACCAAUUCAUCCAUUCAAUCCAACAAUUCAACUUCAGUGCUCAGCUUUAUUGCUGAUUUUAAAAAAGGAAAAAAAGGUGCAGCCUACAUAGAAGAUGCUCACCAAUUACGACUUCUCUACAACAGAUACUUGCAAUGGAGGUUUGCCUCUGCAAAAGCUGAUGCUGUACUUUACAUCCAAAAUGCAAUUGUGGAGAAAACUCUAUAUAACGUAUGGAUUACUACUUCGUCCAUGUGGGAGUCUAUUGUUAGAAAAAGGAUCAAUCUUCAGCAGCUGAAGCUUGAACUUAAGCUGAAUUCUGUUUUAAAUGAUCAAGUAAUGUUUCUCCUUUUCCACAAUAUAUUAUUUACAUGCCAGCUUUUAUUGUUGAUUGUAUAAAUAUAGUUAUUUUUCCUUUUUAAUUUUUCCUUGUAGGAUAAUUGUACUUGAGAUAGUUUCUGAUCAGUUCAUUAGUGGCUACUUUACACAGCAGGAAAUGGGCCCUAGAUAUUGAGAAGUUAAUUUUCUUUUACUACUUUUUAGUUACAGGUUAUUCAUAUUAGUUUAUUUUAAGUGAUUCAAAAUUUUUAUGAAAUUGAAAUAGAAGCUUUUGAUUUGGGUUUUCAGCUUGGAGUUUUAGGAGGAGUAUAGAUAGAACAUGUGAAAUAGUUUUGGAGGGGAAAACAUUCUGAUCUAGACACUAGUAUUGUGUGAAAUCGUGAACAAAGUUGAGCUUCUAAUUUCAUUUGCUAUGGUCGAGUUUGGGAUGCUAUUUUCUCCUUCUUUAAUUGUUUCCAAUUUCAUGCAUUCUUAAAUGUUGGCCUUUUACAAUGACUGAAGCAGAUGAUCUACCUUGAUGAUUGGGCUGUACUUGAAAGAGAUCACAUUGAUGCUGUGUCUGGGGCUGUGGAAGACUUGGAGGCAAGCACUCUUCGUCUCCCUGUAACUGGAGGAGCAACGGCAGAUAUUGAGCAUUUGAAGGUCGCCAUCUGUCAAGCUGUUGAUGUCAUGCAAGCAAUGGGAUCUGCAAUCUGCUCAUUGCUCUUGCAGAUUGAGAGCAUGAACAAUUUAAUUUCUGAGGUUGCUGUCAAAGCAGCACAGGAAAAGACCAUGCUGGAUGAAUGUGAAAUGCUACUGGCUUCAGUAGCAGCGAUGCAGGUUGAGGAAAGUAGCCUUCGGACGCAUCUUGUGCAAAUCAAGCAAGUAACAAAUUCCGGAAAUUUAAACAACCACGAACCUGACCUGCUGCCAAGCCAACAAGUAAUAAAUUAUCUCUUGCGACUUCAGCCAUAGUAUCGGUAUCUAAUAUCUUUCAGGUUCUUUACCUUUGUAAAUUUUCGAAUAGUUUUUCUUUAACCGUUAAAUAUUCUGGAAUCGAUAUUGUUUUGUUACCCUUUGGUUAUUUUUUUUCUUCAUCCUUUUUGCCCCACAAUACUCGAGGCUAUAGGUUUCCACUUGUAAUUUUGUCUCAGGCAAAGGAAAAAAAAAA
Molecule: RNA transcript, 3327 nt
Organism: Abrus precatorius (Indian licorice)
Lineage: Eukaryota; Viridiplantae; Streptophyta; Magnoliopsida; Fabales; Fabaceae
Gene name: AUGMIN subunit 8-like
Exons: 6
Source: RefSeq, a predicted model, not a curated record